This 1168-nucleotide ribosomal RNA is filed under the name Schizomavella auriculata. RNAcentral describes it as "SSU rRNA". It matches the Rfam family "Eukaryotic small subunit ribosomal RNA", at positions 298 to 1477 of the family's 1831-position model. The record is from RNAcentral. Lineage: Eukaryota; Metazoa; Bryozoa; Gymnolaemata; Cheilostomatida; Bitectiporidae.
CUGAGGUUUCUGAUCUAUCAUGCUGACGACGGUUGGUGAUAUGCCAACCGUGGCGUUAACGGAUAACAGAGAAUCUGGGUUCGAUUCUGGAGAGGCCGCAUGAGAAACGGCGACCACUUCUAAGGAAGGCAGCAGGCACGCAAAUUACCCACUUCGAACACCGAGAGGUAGUGACGAACAAUACCGAUGCGGCGCACAUACGUGCCGCCGUAAUCGGAAUGAGUACACUUCAAACCUUUUAACGAGGAUCCACUGGAGGGCAAGCCUGGUGCCAGCAGCCGCGGUAAUUCCAGCUCCAGCAGCGUAUAUUUAUAUUGCUGCGUUUAAAAAGCUCGUAGUUGAAGCGUCAGACGCGGAAGGGCGGACGGCCGCACUGGUCGCUCUCGCCCGACCGAGCCAGGCGCAGAGGGCGCGCGUCGCUUGCACUUCGUCGUGUGAGCGCGCCGCCGCUGCACGUUCACCUUGAAGAAAUUGAACCGCUUAGAGGGGGCGAGCAGCUUGUACAGCUCAGCAUGGUAUGAUGGAACAUGGGCUCGUACUCAUUUUGUUGGUUAGAGAGUCGGCGAGCCAAUGAUUAACAGGGACUGCCGGGGGCAUUCGUACUCGGACGGGAGAGGUGAAAUUCAAGGAUCGUCCGAAGACGUCCAACUGCGAAAGCAUUUGCCAAGAAUGUUUUCAUUAAUCAAGAACGAAAGUCAGAGGUGCGAAGGCGAUCAGAUACCGCCGUAGUUCUGACCGUAAACGAUGCCGACUGGCAAUUGGGCGCACUUCUGUCGAAGUUGCUGCCAGCAGUAUUGCCCGGGAAACCAAAGUCAUUGGGUUCCGGGGGGAGUAUGGUUGCAAAGCUGAAACUUAAAGGAAUUGACGGAAGGGCACCACCAGGAGUGGAGCCUGCGGCUUAAUUUGACUCAACACGGGAAACCUCACCCGGCCCGAACACUGUUAUGACAGACAGGUUGAGAGCUCUUUCUCGAUUCAGUGGUUGGUGGUGCAUGGCCGUUCUUAGUUCGUGGAGCGAUCUGUCUGGUUAAUUCCGAUAACGAACGAGACUCUUGCCUGCUAAAUAGACGGCGUCGACAUAGCGCGGCGACCGUUCGCUUCUUAGAGGGACAAGCGGCUUUUAGCCGCGUGAAGCUGAGAGCAAUAACAGGUCAGUGAUGCCCUCAGA